ACCGGCAAACGGGUGCGGAACACGUACGCAACCUUCCUUUAAGCGGGGAAUAGCCCAGGGAAACUUGGAUUAAUACCCCAUAAGAUAAUCGGGUGGCAUCACCUGACUAUUAAAGCUCCGGCACUUAAAGAUGGGCGUGCGGCUGAUUAGGUAGUUGGCGGGGUAACGGCCCACCAAGCCGACGAUCAGUAACUGGUGUGAGAGCACGACCAGUCACACGGGCACUGAGACACGGGCCCGACUCCUACGGGAGGCAGCAGUAAGGAAUAUUGGUCAAUGGACGCAAGUCUGAACCAGCCAUGCCGCGUGGAGGAUGAAGGCCCUCUGGGUUGUAAACUUCUUUUAUUGGGGAAGAAACCGGUUUUUUCUAAAGCCGUUGACGGUACCCAUUGAAUAAGCACCGGCUAACUCCGUGCCAGCAGCCGCGGUAAUACGGAGGGUGCAAGCGUUAUCCGGAUUCACUGGGUUUAAAGGGUGCGUAGGUGGACAGGUAAGUCAGUGGUGAAAUCUCUAAGCUUAACUUAGAAAACUGCCCGUUGA
This 540-nucleotide ribosomal RNA is filed under the name uncultured bacterium. RNAcentral's name for it is "bacterial SSU rRNA". It matches the Rfam family "Bacterial small subunit ribosomal RNA", at positions 94 to 630 of the family's 1533-position model. The record is from RNAcentral.